RNAcentral lists this ribosomal RNA (805 nucleotides) under uncultured Pelagibacteraceae bacterium. Its description in RNAcentral is "bacterial SSU rRNA". It matches the Rfam family "Bacterial small subunit ribosomal RNA", at positions 34 to 887 of the family's 1533-position model. The record is from RNAcentral. Lineage: Bacteria; Pseudomonadati; Pseudomonadota; Alphaproteobacteria; Candidatus Pelagibacterales; Candidatus Pelagibacteraceae.
CGCUGGCGGCACGCCUAAUACAUGCAAGUCGAACGAAGUAGCAAUACUUAGUGGCAGACGGGUGAGUAACAUGUGGGUAUCUUCCCUUUGGUGAGGAAUAACACGAGGAAACUUGUGCUAAUACCUCAUAAGUCUUUACGGAGAAAGCUUUAUGCGCCAUUGGAUGAGCCUGCACUUGAUUAGUUUGUUGGUGGGGUAAUGGCCUACCAAGACUUUGAUCAAUAGCUGAUUUGAGAGGAUGAUCAGCCACAUUGGGACUGAGACACGGCCCAAACUCCUACGGGAGGCAGCAGUAGGGAAUCUUGCACAAUGGAGGAAACUCUGAUGCAGCGAUGCCGCGUGAGUGAAGAAGGCCUUUGGGUUGUAAAGCUCUUUCGUCGGGGAAGAAAAUGACUGUACCCGAAUAAGAAGGUCCGGCUAACUUCGUGCCAGCAGCCGCGGUAAUACGAAGGGACCUAGCGUAGUUCGGAAUUACUGGGCUUAAAGAGUUCGUAGGUGGUUAAAAAAGUUGGUGGUGAAAUCCCAGAGCUUAACUCUGGAACUGCCAUCAAAACUUUUUAGCUAGAGUAUGAUAGAGGAAAGCAGAAUUUCUAGUGUAGAGGUGAAAUUCGUAGAUAUUAGAAAGAAUACCGAUUGCGAAGGCAGCUUUCUGGAUCAUUACUGACACUGAGGAACGAAAGCAUGGGUAGCGAAGAGGAUUAGAUACCCUCGUAGUCCAUGCCGUAAACGAUGUGUGUUAGACGUUGGAAAUUUAUUUUCAGUGUCGCAGCGAAAGCAAUAAACACACCGCCUGGGGAGUACGACC